GAUGAACGCUGGCGGCGUGCCUAAUACAUGCAAGUCGAGCGAACGGACGAGAAGCUUGCUUCUCUGAUGCUAGCGGCGGACGGGUGAGUAACACGUGGAUAACCUACCUAUAAGACUGGGAUAACUUCGGGAAACCGGAGCUAAUACCGGAUGAUAUUUUGAACCGCAUGGUUCAAAAGUGAAAGACGGCCUUGCUGUCACUUAUAGAUGGAUCCGCGCUGCAUUAGCUAGUUGGUAAGGUAACGGCUUACCAAGGCAACGAUGCAUAGCCGACCUGAGAGGGUGAUCGGCCACACUGGAACUGAGACACGGUCCAGACUCCUACGGGAGGCAGCAGUAGGGAAUCUUCCGCAAUGGGCGAAAGCCUGACGGAGCAACGCCGCGUGAGUGAUGAAGGUCUUCGGAUCGUAAAACUCUGUUAUUAGGGAAGAACAUAUGUGUAAGUAACUGUGCACAUCUUGACGGUACCUAAUCAGAAAGCCACGGCUAACUACGUG
This 497-nucleotide ribosomal RNA is filed under the name uncultured bacterium. Its description in RNAcentral is "partial 16S ribosomal RNA". It matches the Rfam family "Bacterial small subunit ribosomal RNA", at positions 28 to 507 of the family's 1533-position model. The record is from RNAcentral.